This 389-nucleotide long non-coding RNA is filed under the name Homo sapiens (human). RNAcentral's name for it is "HSALNT0184771". The record is from RNAcentral. Lineage: Eukaryota; Metazoa; Chordata; Mammalia; Primates; Hominidae.
GAAAAAAGCAGGAGGCAAGAGAAGCAGGAGCCUGGGGGAGCUGACUGCAGUCAUCCGUAAUACAUCUGGCUAUGUCCGGCAGGUCCUCCUGCCCCAGCCAGAGGAGAGGGCACUGGGGACCAGGUGGGCCAAGGCUGAGGCUGAGGGGGCAGACAAGUGCCGUCUGCACCUGAGGGCUCUGACAGAGGAGACUGCAACACCAUUUCCCCUUCAUCAGCUCAAGUCCAGGAAAGGGAAGUCAGCAGUCGUCACACCGUUUCAGGAGAAACUGGCCUGAGCCUCAUCAUCCUCCACCACCACCAGACAGCUGAUGGGAGGCAGGCAGAUGAGGGUUCAUUGCCGCCAGGUGUUUGGGCGGCUCUGAGAGGAAGCCCUGCACAUCCUUCAAU